Molecule: transfer RNA, 72 nt
Filed under: Candidatus Avirikenella pullistercoris
Lineage: Bacteria; Pseudomonadati; Bacteroidota; Bacteroidia; Bacteroidales; Rikenellaceae
Description: tRNA-Arg
Rfam family: tRNA
About the family: Transfer RNA (tRNA) molecules are approximately 80 nucleotides in length. Their secondary structure includes four short double-helical elements and three loops (D, anti-codon, and T loops).
Source: RNAcentral
GGCCUUGUAGUUCAAGGGAUAGAACGACAGUUUCCUAAACUGUAGAUUCCAGUUCGAGUCUGGGCAAGGCUA